AAUUUUUGACCAUGGGGGCAACCCUGAUCCAGCCAUCCCGCGUGUGCGAUGAAGGNCUNNGGGUUNUNAAGCACUUUUGGCAGNNNNNAAACGGCACGGACUAUUAGCCUGUGAAACUGACGGUACCUGCAGACUAAGCCCCGGCUAACUACGUGCCAGCGGCCGCGGUUACACGUAGGGUGCAAGGGUUAAUCGGAAUUACUGGGCGUAAAGCGUGCGCAGGCGGUUCGGAAAGAAGGAUGUGAAAUCCCAGGGCUUAACCUUGGAACUGCAUUUUUAACUACCGGGCUAGAGUGUGUCAGAGGGAGGUGGAAUUCCGCGUGUAGCAGUGAAAUGCGUAGAUAUGCGGAGGAACACCGAUGGCGAAGGCAGCCUCCUGGGAUAACACUGACGCUCAUGCACGAAAGCGUGGGGAGCAAACAGG
Molecule: ribosomal RNA, 424 nt
Filed under: uncultured bacterium
Lineage: Bacteria
Description: partial 16S ribosomal RNA
Rfam family: Bacterial small subunit ribosomal RNA
Source: RNAcentral